This is a long non-coding RNA of Brassica rapa (field mustard), 3344 nucleotides long. RefSeq lists it as uncharacterized. The record is from RefSeq and is a predicted model, not a curated record. Lineage: Eukaryota; Viridiplantae; Streptophyta; Magnoliopsida; Brassicales; Brassicaceae.
UUCUCAUAGAAAAUACCCAUAAACAAUAUGACAGCUUUGGAAUGGUUUUAGAUUUCAAAAUCUUAUUUAUUUCUAUGCAACGAUAUUUUGAUGAAACUUCACCUUUCUAGUUGAUGAGUCCUUAAAUCGACAUUAAACAUCUCCCUCUCCAAUUUUUUUGGAGCAUAAGCGUGUGAUAAUCAAUUAAUAAUCUUGUGUUGCUCAACUGUUCCAUGCUUGUUAUUAACCAAGAGAGUCGUACCAAGUUCCCUUGUUGUAUGAAGUUUCUUUUCAGUUUCGCUUGUUUAAUCUAAACAUGGUUGGUUUUAGGCAUAUCUGGAUGAAGCAUCCGGUUUGACCUUAACUUUAAAGAACUAUUAUACAUAGAUUCAUAGCCCCAAAUUUUCGACAUGAUUAUUUUAAAAAUGUUCAAUAACUUGAUAACAUUCCAAAUCUAUCGAUUUUCUAAAACAAAUUCAAAUAGUAGUACGUAGAAUGGCUCACAAGAUAUAAAGAGAAUAACACAUCUAACAUGAUAGAUAGAAGAAGAAUGAAUAACCAAUAAAUUGAAUUGCUUCCUUUGUAUUGAGACUUCAAAGUGAUUAUGAUACCAAACAAAACAAAAGACAACAAACAAACAAGAAAACCCACUCAAAAUGGAGAGCUUGCAUCUUCUUUCAGCUGUAGUGUGGAUCUUGUCUAGAAACAUUACUCUUGCAGAACUAUCAUUCGAAAACAGACCCAAAACUGCAAUAGUAACAGUACUGUUUCCAAACUUCUCAAUCCUCUAGAGAUCAUAAAAGUAUGCCCUGCUUCGGCUACUACGAUCACAUCCCCACCAACAAAGAGGUGAUAGUGUCUCAGCUAUCUGAUGAGUCAUCCUCUUGAAGCUUGAACUUGUAAAAGUGUACAAUAGACUUCAUGAGUGACUUGGGGUUGGAUCCUUCGGCGCAACUAUAUCCAAUAUGAACAACACUUUGUAAUUUACCCACUAAUACAUAUCUUGUACACAUAAUUUUCCCUUGGUCAAAAUUAUUAAUCUUGGAAUCCAAGUAAUUAAAACUUCAUCUUUAUUGUUAAUAGAUUGCUUCAUCGAAUGGGAUAUACUUUCACGCUCUGGAUACCUAGACAUGAUUGGGAUAAAGCUUUAUAAUUUAUAUUUCAUUAUUUUAUCAUAUUUACAUUCCAAUGCCAUUUACCAGAACGAAUCAGUUCUAGUGGUAAAGGGGUUGCGGCUGUAAUUUCUGCGAUCCGGAUUCGAUUUGCGCUGGGAGAAACUAUUUACAAUAUUUGGGUUUCCGGCAAAGAGGUGGAAACACCUUUUUCAUUAUUGUUAUGAGCUUUUCAUUUUUCAUUUAUAUCUUAUAAAACUUGAAUUUUUAGGUUGGGAUUUACAUUCUUAUAGAAAUUUUUUUUAACUCAAAGCUGAUAACUCUAUUGGUAAAGUCAUCUGCCCUAAGGGAACAGGUUCCAGGCUUGAGGCUGAGCAGCUGCAGGUGGAUUUAAUAACAGGAGCUUGUUAUUGGUCUAAAAAGAUUAUGAGAUUUGCCUGAAAACUUCUUGAAUUAAAGAAAAAAGGAAAAAUAAUUACUAUUAAGAAAUUAAAUUCAGGAUUAUUUAUUUUGGUUUUUAUAUUUAAUUAAAGUGAUCAGAUAUUACCAAAUAUAUACGAUUUCCUAUUGCUAUGGGACUUAGGUUUUAAUUUUUUGUUAUUUAAUUACCGAAUUUGUUUCUUUCUCUGUCAUAUAACUACUCUCAUCGUUUUGCUUCACCCAUCUAAUCUUUCAACGAGUUUCACAAUGAAUGCGAAAGAAAUUCGUACAAUCAUCGGAAUCGUUGGUACGUUCUGCUUCUCUAUUUAUACAAUGAAUAUGAUUCUCUUAUCUUAUGUGUAAUUUCGUAUAUUUAAUAUUUACUUAUACCGGAAGGAGACAGUACUGUAGUUGUAGGCUUGUAGCAGUAGUUGAAUGAAGCUAUAUAUUAUUUAUGUUUUGGAGGAACUUUAAUCGAUGUUAAUCCAAUGACGGAUGUAGUAAGCAAAUUUACUUAGCUUAGUUUAGCUGUUUACUGAUACUAUUUAUCUGGCUUGAUCCAGGACCAUUGUUUCUUUCACGGAUUCAUAAAAGGAUUAUUAUAAUUAUAUUCACAAACAUCUGCAUAUACAGGCCAAAGUUUAUACAAAUUUACAAGAAUGAAUCAGUGGAUGUGGAUUUUCAACAACAUCGUCAUGUAGCGAUGGUGAUGAAAUGUAGCUUGUGGAUUUUGUAUGGUCUCCCACUUGUUCAAAAGGAUAGCAUUCUCGUCACCACCAGUAAUGGCGUUGGGCUUGUAAUCGAAGUGAUCUACUUGGUUGUAUUUUUUAUCUACUGUUACAAAGAUCUAGAUUUAGAACGUGUAAGUUCCAUCAUUAAUGCUUAAAUCUCUUAAUCAUUAUUGUAUUAUUGAUUUUGAUCCCUAAUGUUUAUGUUGUUGGUUAUCUUCAGAUGCAGGCCACUGGGGCAUGUCUUAUAGUUGAGAUUAGUUCGCUCCUUUUUUUUCUAUGCGAAUACUCUUUUGAUCCUUGAAAACGUAUCGGCAAGACGUAAACUAAUCGGAGUUUUUUGCACCGUUUACACCAUUAUUAUGCAUGUUUUACUAGCCCUGCAAACAAAGGUUGACGGGGAACAAUUUCGCUGUAGGUAUCUGCCAUUUUGGUUCUCAUUUGUUAACUUUAUCAACGCUGGAAUUUGGAUUGCUUAUUCUGUGAUUUACAAGAUUGACGUCUACGUUCUUGUAAGUGCCUUCAUUUUCUUUGGAAAAAUCUUUUUUUAAUUGAUUUUCUUUAAGAGAUUUUGGUGUUUGUAACGUUUUUUCCUUUUUGGGUUUGUGUAUGGGACAGGUAGUCAAUGUUGUUGGAGCAUUGGCGUGUGCUAUUCAUUUAAUAAUCUUGUGUUGCUCAAUUAUUAAUCAGCGCUUGUUACAACCCAAGAGAGUCGUACCAAGUGCUCCUAUAUAUGCACUUUAGUUUUUUUUCUUUCGGUUUUGCUUGUUUAAUCUAAACAUGGUUGGUUUUACCUAUACUUGUCUUGACCCCAAACUUUAAAAAACUAUUAUACAUAGAUCCAUAACCUCAAUUUUCGAUAUUUUUCCUUAUUAAGAUUAGUUUUAAAAUGUUCAAUGACUUGAUAACAUUCCAAAUCAUCUAUUUCCUGGAAACAAAUCCCAAUAGUAGAAUGUAUAAUGGUUCACAAGAUCUCUUUCUAUUUAUUAUAAAGAGAAUGACACAUCUUAACAUGAUUGAUAGAAGAAGAAUCAAUAACCAAGAAAUCAAAUCGCUUCCUUAGUUUCGAAACUUCGAAGUGAUUAUUGAUACCAAACAAACAAAA